This 204-nucleotide unclassified non-coding RNA is filed under the name soil metagenome. RNAcentral describes it as "partial contains small subunit ribosomal RNA, internal transcribed spacer 1, and 5.8S ribosomal RNA". The record is from RNAcentral.
UUUCCGUAGGUGAACCUGCGGAAGGAUCACUGGUAGUUGGAUGAGGGGAUGAGAUUGAUUUUGGUUGAUUGAGAUCUUGAUUUUGGUUGAUCUUGGUUGAUUUCAAUCUCUAUCAAAAUCACCCCCCACACACAUUAACAAGCUUGUUGGUUGACUGAACGUUAUAACAACACAAAACUCUUAACAAUGGAUCUCUCGGCUCUU